AGUUUGUGCAGAGAAAAAACAAAAUUUCUAGUACGAUUUUCAGAUUUGAUCAAAAUUUUGCAUAUAUCUGCUGGUAUGCAGAUGUAUAGUAGUGUAUAAAAUCAUAUAUAUUUAUUUUGGUAUUAUAUAAAACUUUACUCAAUAUCAAUGUCGGCUAUAAAGUAUGUGCUAUUCGGUUUUGCAGCUUGUCAAGCGUUUGUUAUGGUUGGAGAAUACUUUUUGGAUCGUGAAUUUGAAAGGCGCCGAAAUGUGAGGAGGGCAAGACAGCUGAUCUACGUCAGGCUUAUACACAGAAGAGCACUUAGUGCCCCAAUGGCUGCGUAUGCUUUAGCUGUUGCACAAAUGUUAUCCCAACCAUAACUCCCGGGAGAAUGAUGAUUGGUUUGUGGUUUGAUGUCAAUAAAUUUUACGUUUUGUCCAUUUCAAGGUAGGCUUGAAACCAAAAAUCUAAAACGGUCUAGUUACUUUUGGUAACUCUACCGAUAGUAUGCCGUCAGUGAACCUAUUCAAAACCAUUUUGGGGUAGGCUUAUUUAAGGAAUCAAAACGCCUAUUGAGAUUAUGAAGUGUUAGAUUCGUCUAGGUCCCUUUCAAGGAGGAAACUGUUUUAAUUGGUACCGACAGAGUUCUUGGAAAUAAUGGGUUAUCACAUUUAAAGCUAUGGACUUUAUCAGUCAAGUCAUCUUUAACAUUGUACGCUUUAUGUGCUCUCAAAAUCUUCUAAACCACUUACCGCAUGCAACAAUUAUGCGGAAUGAAAGCUUAGUCAAGCCUUUAACUUUUCACAUUUAAACUUGCAAAGAUCAAACGCUUCUAACAUACAGGCGUACAUGAGAUAUAGAUGAAAGCAACAAUGACUUGCAUUUCAUGAACUUAAAUGAGCAAUUCACGAAUAACCCCGCGUACAUCCAAACAACGCAUAACUUAACGUAGUGUGCACUGGAACAGUUUAUUUGCCUUCCUAAUUCCGCUUUCUCUCCGCAAAUGGUGAAAUGCACAUAGUUUAUUAAGCGCUCAAACAACCAAACGACCAAAUGACCGAAAGACCAAAUGACCGAUAGACCAACCGGGCAACUUAACAAGUAUGCUAUGCGGUAACUUGUCCAACAACAGUCAAAUGAGCUGCACUACUUUAGUCGGAUGUAAGCUAAGCACUUAGCCUGUGGUAAGUAAACGCAGCCAAUAGCAAAAUCCGUACGAGAAUUUCAUUUUCGGAAUUAUCGCAUUUAUAUUGCGUAUUAAGCGAUUAUGUCGUGUGACUACGUAUUUAAUACGGAUUGCAGCUGCAAGAGAGUGACUUAAGUCCAUGUCGGUUGCUUCUUGAAUUUAAUGCAGAUGAUAAUGCUUUAUUCCAUCAAUCAAAGUAUAAAAAAAAAAAGGAAUUCAUGAAAACUCUAUCGUAUUUAUUUAAGCACAUAUCAUUUCACCAGCAGGGACAGAGAAAUAUUAGUUUAUGAUGUUUCACAUAUCCAAGAGUACUAGAAAUUAUAAUUGCCAAGCCAAAAAAAUGUAAGCAUAAAGAUUAAUUUAAGUAUUCCAAAAAAAAAUUAAAGCCAAACGCUGCGGAACCUCACUUAACCCAUGUUGAUGUCAGCACUUGUCUAUUUCUGCGUGUCUCAGAUGUAACUCGAAGCUGUUGAACAAACGCAACUCCUUCAAUUAGUGCGGAGCAAUUGAUAACGAAUGAUCAAAAAAGUGCCCUCUAUUCUUAAUUUUAAUCAAGCACAAGCAAAUAAAAAUUAUCAGAAAAAAUCUAUUUUUUAAAAAAAAUAAUA
This is a long non-coding RNA of Teleopsis dalmanni, 1774 nucleotides long. RefSeq lists it as uncharacterized. The record is from RefSeq and is a predicted model, not a curated record. NCBI's taxonomy places the organism in Eukaryota, Metazoa, Arthropoda, Insecta, Diptera, Diopsidae. The transcript is spliced from 5 exons.